RNAcentral lists this ribosomal RNA (253 nucleotides) under uncultured bacterium. RNAcentral describes it as "partial 16S ribosomal RNA". It matches the Rfam family "Bacterial small subunit ribosomal RNA", at positions 524 to 776 of the family's 1533-position model. The record is from RNAcentral.
UACGUAGGGGGCAAGCGUUGUCCGGAAUCAUUGGGCGUAAAGCGCGUGUAGGCGGCCACGUUAGUCCGUUCUGAAAGCCCGGGACUCAACCCCGGGAGGCGGAUGGAUACUGCGUGGCUCGAGUCCGGAAGAGGCGAGUGGAAUUCCUGGUGUAGCGGUGAAAUGCGCAGAUAUCAGGAGGAGCGCCGAUGGCGAAGGCAGCUCGCUGGGACGUGACUGACGCUGAGACGCGAAAGCGUGGGGAGCAAACAGG